GAGUGUUCAGCUUUGCGGCCAUAGUUUUGCAAAAACUAAUGAGGAUACCUUACUAUAUCCAGCACUUU
This 68-nucleotide transfer RNA is filed under the name Testudotaenia sp. WL-2016. RNAcentral's name for it is "tRNA-Cys". The record is from RNAcentral. Lineage: Eukaryota; Metazoa; Platyhelminthes; Cestoda; Proteocephalidea; Proteocephalidae.